This 1518-nucleotide ribosomal RNA is filed under the name Staphylococcus aureus. RNAcentral describes it as "partial 16S ribosomal RNA". It matches the Rfam family "Bacterial small subunit ribosomal RNA". Lineage: Bacteria; Bacillati; Bacillota; Bacilli; Caryophanales; Staphylococcaceae. The record is from RNAcentral.
GCUGGCGGCGUGCCUAAUACAUGCAAGUCGAGCGAACGGACGAGAAGCUUGCUUCUCUGAUGUUAGCGGCGGACGGGUGAGUAACACGUGGAUAACCUACCUAUAAGACUGGGAUAACUUCGGGAAACCGGAGCUAAUACCGGAUAAUAUUUUGAACCGCAUGGUUCAAAAGUGAAAGACGGUCUUGCUGUCACUUAUAGAUGGAUCCGCGCUGCAUUAGCUAGUUGGUAAGGUAACGGCUUACCAAGGCAACGAUGCAUAGCCGACCUGAGAGGGUGAUCGGCCACACUGGAACUGAGACACGGUCCAGACUCCUACGGGAGGCAGCAGUAGGGAAUCUUCCGCAAUGGGCGAAAGCCUGACGGAGCAACGCCGCGUGAGUGAUGAAGGUCUUCGGAUCGUAAAACUCUGUUAUUAGGGAAGAACAUAUGUGUAAGUAACUGUGCACAUCUUGACGGUACCUAAUCAGAAAGCCACGGCUAACUACGUGCCAGCAGCCGCGGUAAUACGUAGGUGGCAAGCGUUAUCCGGAAUUAUUGGGCGUAAAGCGCGCGUAGGCGGUUUUUUAAGUCUGAUGUGAAAGCCCACGGCUCAACCGUGGAGGGUCAUUGGAAACUGGAAAACUUGAGUGCAGAAGAGGAAAGUGGAAUUCCAUGUGUAGCGGUGAAAUGCGCAGAGAUAUGGAGGAACACCAGUGGCGAAGGCGACUUUCUGGUCUGUAACUGACGCUGAUGUGCGAAAGCGUGGGGAUCAAACAGGAUUAGAUACCCUGGUAGUCCACGCCGUAAACGAUGAGUGCUAAGUGUUAGGGGGUUUCCGCCCCUUAGUGCUGCAGCUAACGCAUUAAGCACUCCGCCUGGGGAGUACGACCGCAAGGUUGAAACUCAAAGGAAUUGACGGGGACCCGCACAAGCGGUGGAGCAUGUGGUUUAAUUCGAAGCAACGCGAAGAACCUUACCAAAUCUUGACAUCCUUUGACAACUCUAGAGAUAGAGCCUUCCCCUUCGGGGGACAAAGUGACAGGUGGUGCAUGGUUGUCGUCAGCUCGUGUCGUGAGAUGUUGGGUUAAGUCCCGCAACGAGCGCAACCCUUAAGCUUAGUUGCCAUCAUUAAGUUGGGCACUCUAAGUUGACUGCCGGUGACAAACCGGAGGAAGGUGGGGAUGACGUCAAAUCAUCAUGCCCCUUAUGAUUUGGGCUACACACGUGCUACAAUGGACAAUACAAAGGGCAGCGAAACCGCGAGGUCAAGCAAAUCCCAUAAAGUUGUUCUCAGUUCGGAUUGUAGUCUGCAACUCGACUACAUGAAGCUGGAAUCGCUAGUAAUCGUAGAUCAGCAUGCUACGGUGAAUACGUUCCCGGGUCUUGUACACACCGCCCGUCACACCACGAGAGUUUGUAACACCCGAAGCCGGUGGAGUAACCUUUUAGGAGCUAGCCGUCGAAGGUGGGACAAAUGAUUGGGGUGAAGUCGUAACAAGGUAGCCGUAUCGGAAGGUGCGGCUGGAUCACCUCCUUU